AUUGAACGCUGGCGGCAUGCCUAACACAUGCAAGUCGAGCGGAGCUGCGGACGGGUGAGUAAUGCCUGCGAAUCUGCCUGGUCGUGGGGGCUAACGUCCGGAAACGGGCGCUAAUACCGCAUACUACUUGAUGAGCCUAGGUCGGAUUGGCUAGUUGGUGGGGUAAAGGCCUACCUAGGCGACGAUCCGUAACUGAUCUGAGAGGAUGAUCAGUCACACUGGAACUGAGACACGGUCCAGACUCCUACGGGAGGCAGCAGUGGGGAAUAUUGGACAAUGGGCGAAAGCCUGAUCCAGCAAUGCCGCGUGUGUGAAGAAGGUCUUCGGAUUGUAAAGCACUUUAAGUUGGGAAGCGUUACCAAAACAAAAAGCACCGGCUAACUUCGUGCCAGCAGCCGCGGUAAUUC
This 407-nucleotide ribosomal RNA is filed under the name uncultured bacterium. RNAcentral describes it as "partial 16S ribosomal RNA". It matches the Rfam family "Bacterial small subunit ribosomal RNA", at positions 30 to 526 of the family's 1533-position model. The record is from RNAcentral.